Molecule: ribosomal RNA, 884 nt
Filed under: human gut metagenome
Description: bacterial SSU rRNA
Rfam family: Bacterial small subunit ribosomal RNA
Source: RNAcentral
AGGGUUCGAUUCUGGCUCAGGAUGAACGCUGGCGGCGUGCUUAACACAUGCAAGUCGAACGGGAUCCAUCAGGCUUUGCUUGGUGGUGAGAGUGGCGAACGGGUGAGUAAUGCGUGACCGACCUGCCCCAUGCACCGGAAUAGCUCCUGGAAACGGGUGGUAAUGCCGGAUGCUCCAUCACAUCGCAUGGUGUGUUGGGAAAGCCUUUGCGGCAUGGGAUGGGGUCGCGUCCUAUCAGCUUGAUGGCGGGGUAACGGCCCACCAUGGCUUCGACGGGUAGCCGGCCUGAGAGGGCGACCGGCCACAUUGGGACUGAGAUACGGCCCAGACUCCUACGGGAGGCAGCAGUGGGGAAUAUUGCACAAUGGGCGCAAGCCUGAUGCAGCGACGCCGCGUGAGGGAUGGAGGCCUUCGGGUUGUAAACCUCUUUUGUUAGGGAGCAAGGCACUUUGUGUUGAGUGUACCUUUCGAAUAAGCACCGGCUAACUACGUGCCAGCAGCCGCGGUAAUACGUAGGGUGCAAGCGUUAUCCGGAAUUAUUGGGCGUAAAGGGCUCGUAGGCGGUUCGUCGCGUCCGGUGUGAAAGUCCAUCGCUUAACGGUGGAUCCGCGCCGGGUACGGGCGGGCUUGAGUGCGGUAGGGGAGACUGGAAUUCCCGGUGUAACGGUGGAAUGUGUAGAUAUCGGGAAGAACACCAAUGGCGAAGGCAGGUCUCUGGGCCGUUACUGACGCUGAGGAGCGAAAGCGUGGGGAGCGAACAGGAUUAGAUACCCUGGUAGUCCACGCCGUAAACGGUGGAUGCUGGAUGUGGGGCCCGUUCCACGGGUUCCGUGUCGGAGCUAACGCGUUAAGCAUCCCGCCUGGGGAGUACGGCCGCAAGGCUA